Molecule: small nuclear RNA, 107 nt
Organism: Cricetulus griseus (Chinese hamster)
Lineage: Eukaryota; Metazoa; Chordata; Mammalia; Rodentia; Cricetidae
Source: Ensembl
GCACUUUCUUGUGCAGUAUAUAUACUAAGAUUGGAAUAAUACAGAGAAAAUUAGCAUGGCCCAUGUACAAGCAUGACAAGCAAGUUCAUGAAGCAUUCCAUAUAUUU